Molecule: ribosomal RNA, 253 nt
Filed under: uncultured bacterium
Lineage: Bacteria
Description: partial 16S ribosomal RNA
Rfam family: Bacterial small subunit ribosomal RNA
Source: RNAcentral
UACGUAGGGGGCAAGCGUUGUCCGGAAUCAUUGGGCGUAAAGAGCGCGUAGGCGGUCCGGUAAGUCCGCUCUGAAAGUCCGGGGCUCAACCCCGGGAGGCGGGCGGAUACUGUCGGGCUAGAGUCCGGAAGAGGCGAGUGGAAUUCCUGGUGUAGCGGUGAAAUGCGCAGAUAUCAGGAGGAACACCAAUUGCGAAGGCAGCUCGCUGGGACGUAACUGACGCUGAGGAGCGAAAGCGUGGGGAGCGAACAGG